RNAcentral lists this ribosomal RNA (440 nucleotides) under uncultured bacterium. Its description in RNAcentral is "bacterial SSU rRNA". It matches the Rfam family "Bacterial small subunit ribosomal RNA", at positions 338 to 795 of the family's 1533-position model. The record is from RNAcentral.
CCUACGGGAGGCAGCAGUGGGGAAUAUUGCACAAUGGGGGAAACCCUGAUGCAGCAACGCCGCGUGAGCGAAGAAGGCCUUCGGGUCGUAAAGCUCUGUCCUAAGGGAAGAAGGAUGACGGUACCUUAGUAGGAAGCCCCGGCUAACUCCGUGCCAGCAGCCGCGGUAAUACGUAGGGGGCGAGCGUUAUCCGGAAUCACUGGCCGUAAAGGGUGCGUAGGCGUCCGAUCAAGUCUGGGGUGAAAGGCUACGGCUCAACCGUAGUAAGCCUUGGAACCUUAUUGGCUUGAGUGCAGGAGAGGUGAGCGUAAUUCCUGGUGUAGCGGUGAAUUGCGUAGGUAUCAGGAUGAACACCAGUGGCGAGAUCGUCUCUCUGGACUGUAACUUACGCUGAGACACGAAAGCGUGGGGAGCAAACAGGAUUCGAUCCCCCUGUAGUC